This 371-nucleotide ribosomal RNA is filed under the name uncultured bacterium. RNAcentral's name for it is "bacterial SSU rRNA". It matches the Rfam family "Bacterial small subunit ribosomal RNA", at positions 524 to 898 of the family's 1533-position model. The record is from RNAcentral.
UACGUAGGUGGCAAGCGUUGUCCGGAUUUAUUGGGUUUAAAGGGUGCGUAGGUGGUUUGCUAAGUCAGUGGUGAAAGCUGGUUGCUCAACAAUCAAGUUGCCAUUGAUACUGUCAGACUUGAGAGAAGUGGAGGCUCAUGGAAUGGAUGGUGUAGCGGUGAAAUGCAUAGAUAUCAUCCAGAACGUCAAUUGCGAAGGCAGUGGGCUGUACUUUUUCUGACACUGAGGCACGAAAGCGUGGGGAUCAAACAGGAUUAGAUACCCUGGUAGUCCACGCUGUAAACGAUGCGAACUAGCUUUUUGGUUUAGGAUUAGGAGGCUAAGGGAAACCGAUAAGUUCGCCACCUGGGGAGUACGCCGGCAACGGUGAA